RNAcentral lists this transfer RNA (81 nucleotides) under Cordylochernes scorpioides. RNAcentral's name for it is "tRNA-Gly". The stretch from base 19 to 81 matches the Rfam family "tRNA". From Rfam's summary of the family: Transfer RNA (tRNA) molecules are approximately 80 nucleotides in length. The record is from RNAcentral. Lineage: Eukaryota; Metazoa; Arthropoda; Arachnida; Pseudoscorpiones; Chernetidae.
GAAUUUGAUUUUUUUAAAGCAUCGGUGGUAGAAUGCUCGUCUGCCACGCGGGCGGCCAGGGUUCGAUUCCCGGCCGAUGCA